CGCUUGGGAUACUCUUGUAAGGUAACUUUCUGCAAAACCUGAGUCCCAAGAUUUUUAAUUAUCAUCCAAAUUCCAAUGUAAAUGUCUAACAGAUUUUAUUUUCUGAUUCCACCUCUUUUGAUUUCAGAGCAUUCUGAAAAAAAGUGCAAAUGUGAGCUGGGGUGGAACACAAAACAUCCGCGCUCAUGCUUUGCAUCUGUGAGCUUCGGAACAAAGGGAAACACUCUAAACCAACAUCCUGGGUAUAAAUUUGCAAAACGCAAUACAGGCCUGAUUGUGUGUCGAGUGGAUGUGGGAUGCAUACGAAUAGACCAUGUGCCCCUUCCUCUCUCCUCCUCUGCCACAAAAUAGUACAACUCUUUCUCCCCUCCCCGGUGUUCUGAUGCAGCCAACAUAGUUACAUGUACACAUUCUGCAGCACGGGACUAUGUCGGGGAGAAUGUGAAUGCCUGGGAACAAGUGAAGUCUUGGCACUGUCAGCAGGUCAGCUUGAAGCCCUCUCAUAGCCCAGCCCUCAGGACCAGGUGUUCCCUGCAUUCAGAUGAUACGCUUAUUCAUAGACUGCCUCAACUGGAGUAUUAAAACAAGAAAUUUGCAAGUGAAUGCUGAUAUAAUCCUGGAAAUAUAUGUCUCCAUUAAAAAGUAUCCCAUUU
Molecule: long non-coding RNA, 653 nt
Organism: Hippocampus comes (tiger tail seahorse)
Lineage: Eukaryota; Metazoa; Chordata; Actinopteri; Syngnathiformes; Syngnathidae
Exons: 3
Source: RefSeq, a predicted model, not a curated record